Molecule: non-coding RNA, 106 nt
Organism: Pluteus cervinus
Lineage: Eukaryota; Fungi; Basidiomycota; Agaricomycetes; Agaricales; Pluteaceae
Source: the annotation of a GenBank genome assembly
GGCGAGAUGGCCGAGUGGUCUAAGGCGCCAGACUAAGGACCAGGAUGCACAGGCAUCCACUCAUAUCUGGUCCUCCGGGGCGUGGGUUCGAAUCCCACUCUCGUCA